GGGGCCAGAAGCAGCUAUGGCAGCUGAGAUAUGGAGCCAGGAAUCUGAGAACGGGGAGAUUCCCCGUUACCACCAGAGGUCUACACUCUGGAAGAGAAGCGGGAUACAGACUGGCUGUCCAGGUAAGCCCAGCUAUCUGAGCUGCAGCUCAUUAGACUUUGGUUAAUUUGUUAUUAAUUCCUCAGGAGCACCGAACAAUCCAAACAAGAUGCAGAAAUCAAUGGCCAAGGAAAAGACAAAGCAACCUUCUAAGCAGAAUGUGAGUGAGGAGAGUGGCUUUAAAAAGGCCUCGACAAACUAUUUGAGGUGCAGCCUGUAAAGUGGAGAAUAAAUGCCUUUUUUACAUUGGUUCAUAUUUUUUUUUCAAGUUGGAAAGAGGAGAGGUAAUGGCCUAGGGUGAGGAGCCUGGCUGGCCUCACAAUGCCAAGCUAAUUAU
Molecule: long non-coding RNA, 436 nt
Filed under: Canis lupus familiaris (dog)
Lineage: Eukaryota; Metazoa; Chordata; Mammalia; Carnivora; Canidae
Description: lncRNA (ENSCAFG00000033774.3, ENSCAFG00845015517.1)
Source: RNAcentral